RNAcentral lists this ribosomal RNA (967 nucleotides) under Escherichia coli. Its description in RNAcentral is "partial 23S ribosomal RNA". It matches the Rfam family "Bacterial large subunit ribosomal RNA", at positions 187 to 1194 of the family's 2925-position model. Lineage: Bacteria; Pseudomonadati; Pseudomonadota; Gammaproteobacteria; Enterobacterales; Enterobacteriaceae. The record is from RNAcentral.
GGGGAACUGAAACAUCUAAGUACCCCGAGGAAAAGAAAUCAACCGAGAUUCCCCCAGUAGCGGCGAGCGAACGGGGAGCAGCCCAGAGCCUGAAUCAGUAUGUGUGUUAGUGGAAGCGUCUGGAAAGGCGCGCGAUACAGGGUGACAGCCCCGUACACAAAAAUGCACAUGCUGUGAGCUCGAUGAGUAGGGCGGGACACGUGGUAUCCUGUCUGAAUAUGGGGGGACCAUCCUCCAAGGCUAAAUACUCCUGACUGACCGAUAGUGAACCAGUACCGUGAGGGAAAGGCGAAAAGAACCCCGGCGAGGGGAGUGAAAAAGAACCUGAAACCGUGUACGUACAAGCAGUGGGAGCACGCUUAGGCGUGUGACUGCGUACCUUUUGUAUAAUGGGUCAGCGACUUAUAUUCUGUAGCAAGGUUAACCGAAUAGGGGAGCCGAAGGGAAACCGAGUCUUAACUGGGCGUUAAGUUGCAGGGUAUAGACCCGAAACCCGGUGAUCUAGCCAUGGGCAGGUUGAAGGUUGGGUAACACUAACUGGAGGACCGAACCGACUAAUGUUGAAAAAUUAGCGGAUGACUUGUGGCUGGGGGUGAAAGGCCAAUCAAACCGGGAGAUAGCUGGUUCUCCCCGAAAGCUAUUUAGGUAGCGCCUCGUGAAUUCAUCUCCGGGGGUAGAGCACUGUUUCGGCAAGGGGGUCAUCCCGACUUACCAACCCGAUGCAAACUGCGAAUACCGGAGAAUGUUAUCACGGGAGACACACGGCGGGUGCUAACGUCCGUCGUGAAGAGGGAAACAACCCAGACCGCCAGCUAAGGUCCCAAAGUCAUGGUUAAGUGGGAAACGAUGUGGGAAGGCCCAGACAGCCAGGAUGUUGGCUUAGAAGCAGCCAUCAUUUAAAGAAAGCGUAAUAGCUCACUGGUCGAGUCGGCCUGCGCGGAAGAUGUAACGGGGCUAAACCAUGCAC